AUUUUUUCCCCAUCUAGCUAUCGUUCUUAAACUCCAUCGCUAUCUUGCCUUUAUCUUCCUCUUUCUCUUUCGUUUUCUUCUCGAUCUCUUCUGUUUUCUGUUGUCUAUUUACAAAUUAAGUUCAAUUAAUCCAAAUAGAUAAUGAAAAAUUAAAACUUUGUUUCCUUUUUUCCAUUUUCCCAAAUUGAAAAACGAACCAAAACCCUAACUGCUUGUUAUAGAAGGGGCUUUUUCUCCAACUAAACAUCUAGUGCCUCUACU
RNAcentral lists this long non-coding RNA (261 nucleotides) under Citrus maxima (pomelo). Its description in RNAcentral is "long non-coding RNA (CMAX_LNC000898)". The record is from RNAcentral. Lineage: Eukaryota; Viridiplantae; Streptophyta; Magnoliopsida; Sapindales; Rutaceae.